CUCGUUGUACCAACCAUUGUAGCUCGUGUCGUGAGAUGUUGGGUUAAGUCCCGCAACGAGCGCAACCCCUAUUGUUAGUUGCCAUCAUUCAGUUGGGCACUCUAGCGAGACUGCCGGUAAUAAACCGGAGGAAGGUGGGGAUGACGUCAAAUCAUCAUGCCCCUUAUGACCUGGGCUACACACGUGCUACAAUGGUUGGUACAACGAG
This 208-nucleotide ribosomal RNA is filed under the name uncultured bacterium. Its description in RNAcentral is "partial 16S ribosomal RNA". It matches the Rfam family "Bacterial small subunit ribosomal RNA", at positions 1035 to 1246 of the family's 1533-position model. The record is from RNAcentral.